Molecule: RNA transcript, 1808 nt
Organism: Salvia splendens (bonfire salvia)
Lineage: Eukaryota; Viridiplantae; Streptophyta; Magnoliopsida; Lamiales; Lamiaceae
Exons: 2
Source: RefSeq, a predicted model, not a curated record
AAUCCCCAGGCCAGCCUCAUUUCGCCUUCACCAUCUGAAUCUAUCCGAAAAUGAAGCCCUACCCAUUGACAAAUCUUCCGUCAGAGAUCAUCGCCAUCAUCUUCUCAAAGCUCCCAAUUUCAACCCUUGCAAUCAGCAAAUGUGUCUGCAAACGGUUGCUGAAUCUGCUGGAGGAUGAUUACUUUAUCAAUUCCUAUUUUUCAAGAUUAUCCCCCGCCCUAGCUGUGAUGCUGCCACUGAGCCCCAAAUACCGCUGCAAAAUUUUCGAAUUGGAAGACGAUCUCGAUCUCGACUGCCACAAUCCACUCACCUGCUUCGAUUUCCGCAGAGGAGCACGAAUAGAGGUUUCCGCUAACGGUUUGCUCAUCCUCGAAAAAUACGAGAAACAUCGCCAAGCCUUUUACGUGUGUAAUCCGAUCACUCGCGAAUCAAUUCGCCUGUAUCCGGCCCCAGAAGGAUGUUCUCACGGAUUCGGGAAGAGCAGAAUCGGCGGGCAAUUCAAGUUUGUGAUACUUGAUGGCAGAUCUGGAUAUCAUGUAUACACUCUCGGAACAGGAGGUUCGUGGAGACACGUUGCUGAACCUGUCCCGAUCUGGCACAGUCAUAAGUCUUUUGCUGAAUCGGUAAAUGGCAUUCUCCAUUGGGAAACGUGUAGCUGUCGAUUGAUUUCCUGUUUUGAUUUGGAAACAGAGUGUUUUAGCACAUUUCCUGGCCCUCCUAUUCAAGGGAAUAAUUUUCAUUCGCGACUGCUUACUUUGAGGGAUUGUUUGUGUUUUUGUGAGCGGUCGUCUGUCCAUGAAAUGGUUACCUGGUUGGUGAAGGAUUAUGAGAUUGAGAAAACUUGGACGAAGGAGUUUGUGAUCCCCUUGAAUUCUGCUAUUUUUAGUGGAGUUCAAUUCACAUAUAUUCAGCCUCUCAAAGCUUUUGCCAAUGGUGAUAUGUUGAUGGCGUGUGAUUACAGCAAGAUUUUCUACUACUCCAACACCACUAAGGAUUAUCACCAAAUUUCAUUGCUCGGUGAACCGGAGGAGUGCUACUAUUUGACCUCUGUGCAUUUCACUCCAACCAUUCUUUCACUCAAAAGUUUCAGAAUGGAGAAAGUCACCUCAUUUUGAUUACAUUACAUGUAUGGAUGGUCGUUUGCGUUUAUGUCGAUGAUGUAAUCUACAUGGAAUCGUCUCCCUCUUUUGUUGCUGGGUGCAUGAUGCACGUGUUUCAGAUAAGAGGAUUUGGGAUUUGGCCCCAAAUUAAUGCUGCUGACCGUCUUCUGCAACAAUUCAACCUGUCCAACUGCAAAGCUGUCUACUCCCAUGCGUUUCUGCAGGCUGAAGAUGGAAGCCGUAGUGCUGAUGCAAGUAGGAGUUAGGAAUGUGUUGGCUGAUUUGGGUCACCAGCAAAAGGAGGUGACUCGGAUUUCCUGUGAGAAUGCGGACAUGAGCAAGAACACGCUACAGCAUGGAAGAAAAGAGCACAUUGAGGUAAAGUUGGAGGAUUUUACAAGAGAGUUGGUUGCUGGUGACUUGCAUCUCUUUCAUGAAUUGCGAUGCUCUUGAACAGCAAACAGACAUAUUCACUAAGGCGACAUGCUGGGCUCAGAAUUCGAAUUGGGAGUCUGCAGUUAUGAAUGAAACAUCAUGGUUCAAGAUUCGCAGCUUGUCCUUCUCUACAUUUAGACUCUGUUUAAUAUCAUAUUUUGUCUCUGGAUUUCAGUAUAACUAAUUGCAUCUACAAAGUUUCAAUGGGUAAUUUGAAAAAAUAUACUCAACUGUCACUCUGAUGGAACUUCUCUGAACUGAUGAGAUUUGAAA